AUGCGGCCGCCUCCGUCACGGCUGGCGGCGACCCAGCGGUGCGCCACGCGGUCCUCGUCAAGACCUCCUCCCUGUUGUCUUCCGUUUCCUCCUCCUCCCCUUCCUCCGCGCUCCCGCUCCUCCGCCACCUCCUCAGCACGUCCCCUUCGCUCCUCCCUCCUCCGCUCCAUGCCGCCCUCCAUGGCGCCACGUCUUCACGCCCUCGCCUUCAAGCUGGCUCUCGCCUCCUCUCCGUUCUCAGCUUCCUGUCUCAUAACUAUGUACUCCCGAUCCCGCCUCCCUGACGCCGCACACCACCUGUUCGACGAAAUCCCUGUUGCCUACCGGGACCCCGUCUGCUACUCCUCCACCAUCGUUGGCCUCGCAAAGAACGGCCGUCGGCAGGAGUCUCUGUCCGUCUUUGUUGGCAUGCGAUCCAAUGUCGUUGCUUCCACCAGGAACGCACUGUCCGGUGCACUCCGUGCGGCCGCGGCAGUUGAUGCUCUGGAGCAGGCUUGUGGGAUUCAUGCGCAUGCAUUGGUGAUUCGACUGGAUGGGAAUGUGUCUGUGGGAACCGCGCUGCGGGAUGCAUAUGGGAAGGCCGGGUUGUGGAAGAUGCACGGAAGGUGUUUGAGGGAUUGGGUGAUGAUGGGAACUUGA
RNAcentral lists this ribosomal RNA (639 nucleotides) under Triticum aestivum (bread wheat). RNAcentral describes it as "partial small subunit ribosomal RNA". The record is from RNAcentral. Lineage: Eukaryota; Viridiplantae; Streptophyta; Magnoliopsida; Poales; Poaceae.